Molecule: ribosomal RNA, 497 nt
Filed under: uncultured bacterium
Lineage: Bacteria
Description: partial 16S ribosomal RNA
Rfam family: Bacterial small subunit ribosomal RNA
Source: RNAcentral
GAUGAACGCUGGCGGCGUGCCUAAUACAUGCAAGUCGAGCGAACAGACGAGGAGCUUGCUCCUUUGACGUUAGCGGCGGACGGGUGAGUAACACGUGGGUAACCUACCUAUAAGACUGGGAUAACUUCGGGAAACCGGAGCUAAUACCGGAUAAUAUUUCGAACCGCAUGGUUCGAUAGUGAAAGAUGGCUUUGCUAUCACUUAUAGAUGGACCUGCGCCGUAUUAGCUAGUUGGUAAGGUAACGGCUUACCAAGGCAACGAUACGUAGCCGACCUGAGAGGGUGAUCGGCCACACUGGAACUGAGACACGGUCCAGACUCCUACGGGAGGCAGCAGUAGGGAAUCUUCCGCAAAGGGCGAAAGCCUGACGGAGCAACGCCGCGUGAGUGAUGAAGGUCUUCGGAUCGUAAAACUCUGUUAUUAGGGAAGAACAAACGUGUAAGUAACUGUGCACGUCUUGACGGUACCUAAUCAGAAAGCCACGGCUGACUACGUG